CCUGGCUUAGGAUGAACGCUAGCGGCAGGCUUAACACAUGCAAGUCAGGGGCAGCAUAGUAUGUAGCAAUACAUAUUGAUGGCGACCGGCGGAUGGGUGCGUAACGCGUAUGCAACCUACCUUUACAGGAGGAUAACCUUUCGAAAGGGAGACUAAUACUCCAUAGUAUUAUUUAGAGGCAUCUUUAGAUAAUUAAAUAUUUAUAGGUAAAAGCUGGGCAUGCGUAUGAUUAGUUAGUUGGUAAGGUAACGGCUUACCAAGGCGAUGAUCAUUAGGGGUUCUGAGAGGAAGGUCCCCCCACACUGGUACUGAGACACGGACCAGACUCCUACGGGAGGCAGCAGUGAGGAAUAUUGGUCAAUGGGCGGAAGCCUGAACCAGCCAUGCCGCGUGCAGGAAGACGGCCCUUAUGGGUUGUAAACUGCUUUUAUGUGAGGAUAAUAUUCAUCUUGCGAGGUGGAAUGAAGGUAUCACAUGAAUAAGGAUCGGCUAACUCCGUGCCAGCCGCCGC
This 511-nucleotide ribosomal RNA is filed under the name uncultured bacterium. Its description in RNAcentral is "bacterial SSU rRNA". It matches the Rfam family "Bacterial small subunit ribosomal RNA", at positions 18 to 518 of the family's 1533-position model. The record is from RNAcentral.